GAGUUUGAUCAUGGCUCAGGAUGAACGCUAGCUGGAGGCUUAAUACAUGCAAGUCGAGCGGGAUUGGGUAGCAAUACCCAUGAGAGCGGCGCACGGGUGAGUAACGCGUACACGACCUACCUUUGACUGGGGGAUAGCCCUGGGAAACUGGGAUUAAUACCGCAUAUAAUUCUGAUUAAUAAAGGAUUGGAAUGAAAGUUCAGGCGGUCAGAGAUGGGUGUGCGUCUGAUUAGCUAGUUGGUGAGGUAACGGCUCACCAAGGCGAUGAUCAGUAGGGGCGUGAGAGCGUGGUCCCCCACACGGGUACUGAGGA
This 313-nucleotide ribosomal RNA is filed under the name uncultured Sphingobacterium sp. RNAcentral describes it as "bacterial SSU rRNA". It matches the Rfam family "Bacterial small subunit ribosomal RNA", at positions 9 to 325 of the family's 1533-position model. The record is from RNAcentral. Lineage: Bacteria; Pseudomonadati; Bacteroidota; Sphingobacteriia; Sphingobacteriales; Sphingobacteriaceae.